AUUGAACGCUGGCGGUAGGCUUAACACAUGCAAGUCGAGCGAGCGGCGGAAGGGUGAGUAAUGUCUGGGAAACUGCCUGAUGGAGGGGGAUAACUACUGGAAACGGUAGCUAAUACCGCAUACCAUCAGAUGUGCCCAGAUCGGAUUAGCUAGUAGGUGGGGUAAUGGCUCACCAAGGCGACGAUCCAUAGCGGGUCUGAGAGGAUGACCAGCCACACUGGGACGGAGACACGGUCCAGACUCCUACGGGAGGCAGCAGUGGGGAAGAUUGGACAAUGGGGGAAAGCCUGAUGCAGCCAUGCCGCGUGUGUGAAGAAGGCCUUCGGGUUGUAAAGCACUUUCAGCGAGGAGGCGGUACUCGCAGAAGAAGCACCGGCUAACUCCGUGCCAGCCGCCGCGGUAAUAC
This 406-nucleotide ribosomal RNA is filed under the name uncultured bacterium. RNAcentral's name for it is "partial 16S ribosomal RNA". It matches the Rfam family "Bacterial small subunit ribosomal RNA", at positions 29 to 526 of the family's 1533-position model. The record is from RNAcentral.